This 465-nucleotide ribosomal RNA is filed under the name Vreelandella stevensii. Its description in RNAcentral is "partial 16S ribosomal RNA". It matches the Rfam family "Bacterial small subunit ribosomal RNA", at positions 338 to 795 of the family's 1533-position model. Lineage: Bacteria; Pseudomonadati; Pseudomonadota; Gammaproteobacteria; Oceanospirillales; Halomonadaceae. The record is from RNAcentral.
CCUACGGGGGGCUGCAGUGGGGAAUAUUGGACAAUGGGCGAAAGCCUGAUCCAGCCAAGCCGCGUGUGUGAAGAAGGCCUUCGGGUUGUAAAGCACUUUCAGUGGGGAAGAAAGCCUUGGGGCUAAUACCCUCGAGGAAGGACAUCACCCACAGAAGAAGCACCGGCUAACUCCGUGCCAGCAGCCGCGGUAAUACGGAGGGUGCGAGCGUUAAUCGGAAUUACUGGGCGUAAAGCGCGCGUAGGCGGUCUGAUAAGCCGGUUGUGAAAGCCCCGGGCUCAACCUGGGAACGGCAUCCGGAACUGUCAGGCUAGAGUGCAGGAGAGGAAGGUAGAAUUCCCGGUGUAGCGGUGAAAUGCGUAGAGAUCGGGAGGAAUACCAGUGGCGAAGGCGGCCUUCUGGACUGACACUGACGCUGAGGUGCGAAAGCGUGGGUAGCAAACAGGAUUAGAUACCCUAGUAGUC